ACAAACGCUGGCGGCAUGCCUAACACAUGCAAGUCGAACGGACAGAACAGGGAAGCUUUUCGGAGUGGAACUGGAAAGUUAGUGGCGGAUGGGUGAGUAACGCGUGGACAACCUACCUUGUAAAGGGGAAUAACCUCGAGAAAUCGAAGCUAAUACCCCAUAAUAACCUUGCUUCGCAUGAAGUAAGGAGGAAAGGCGGCCUUAGCGCUGUCGAUACAAGAUGGGUCCGCGUCUGAUUAGCUAGUUGGUGAGGUAAAGGCUCACCAAGGCGACGAUCAGUAGCCGGCCUGAGAGGGUGAACGGCCACAUUGGGACUGAGACACGGCCCAAACUCCUACGGGAGGCAGCAGUGGGGAAUCUUCCGCAAUGGGCGAGAGCCUGACGGAGCAAUGCCGCGUGAGUGAAGAAGGCCUUCGGGUUGUAAAACUCUGUCCUUAUCGAAGAGAGAGUGUUGUAGUAACUGACAAUACUAGGACGGUAGAUGAGGAGGAAGCCCCGGCUAACUAGGUG
Molecule: ribosomal RNA, 510 nt
Filed under: uncultured bacterium
Lineage: Bacteria
Description: partial 16S ribosomal RNA
Rfam family: Bacterial small subunit ribosomal RNA
Source: RNAcentral